GAUGAAGAACGUAGCGAAAUGCGAUAAGUAAUGUGAAUUGCAGAAUUCAGUGAAUCAUCGAAUCUUUGAACGCAUCUUGCGCUCCUUGGUAUUCUGAGGAGCAUGCCUGUUUGAGUGUCAUUAAAUUCUCUACUACACUGACUUUGAAUUGGUGUGGCUUGGAUUUGGGGGGAAAAUUGUUGUGGGCUUUUUGUAUAGUCUGCUCCCCUGAAAUUGAUUAGCGGUACCUUUGUGGAACUGUCUACAGGUGUGAUAAUUAUCUACAUCUUAGACAUCUGCUGGAAUGCUGCUUUCUAAACCUUACUUGUAUUGACAAUCUUGACCUCAAAUCAGGUAGGACUACCCGCUGAACUUAAGCAUAUCAAUAAGCGGAGGA
RNAcentral lists this unclassified non-coding RNA (376 nucleotides) under soil metagenome. RNAcentral describes it as "partial contains 5.8S ribosomal RNA, internal transcribed spacer 2, and large subunit ribosomal RNA". The stretch from base 1 to 120 matches the Rfam family "5.8S ribosomal RNA", at positions 35 to 154 of the family's 154-position model. The record is from RNAcentral.